GUGCAACAGAAACACCUAAUGCGAAAACUGAGCAAGUUUGGGCAGUUGAAUAAAAUAUUAAUUUCAUCGCACGUAUAAUGCAGAGGUAGAAGGGGUGGAUCCCUCCCCACCCUCUCAAACCCCCCCAACCCAAACUUGCAGGGCUCGCGCCGCACUUUCCAUUCGCUCUCGAGCUCGGGCAACCAUGUGAAGAAGUUCUGCUCUUCCCUCACACCUUCUCAUCCUGUGGAUGGAAUAAGAUGCUUUCAAACGACGAUGCCUCGUGCCUCUUUAGCAAACUAGUCGUGGAAGGAUUUCGUGGAUGUGAUUUCUAAUCGAGGAUGUUCGUUUAUCCGUUUCACAUCCAGAUGACCGGUUUUCCGGAGAGUCCAAGGAGAAUAGGCAGCUGGAGCUCGGAGUCGCCCGCAGGAGGAAGUGGAGGCAGCGCUGCCUCAUGAGGCUGAUGUAACACGAGGGUCGGCAGACAAAUGAAGGAUGCUAAAGGAAUCAUGGGAAGGAUAUGAUCUCGAUACUUCAAUAUCACAUCAGUGAUGGUGAAAGUAACAUCAAUCAUAGUUCACAGAUCAUAAUACAAAGAUGGAGAAGAUGGUUCAGUCAAAGGGUAAAAUACAUGAUAUAAAUAAAAUUUCCCUAUAUACAUGUGUAUGUCUGUGUGUGUGUGUGUGUGUGUGUGUGUGUGUGUGUGUUAUAUAU
Molecule: long non-coding RNA, 693 nt
Organism: Cyprinus carpio (common carp)
Lineage: Eukaryota; Metazoa; Chordata; Actinopteri; Cypriniformes; Cyprinidae
Source: RefSeq, a predicted model, not a curated record